Molecule: ribosomal RNA, 1309 nt
Filed under: metagenome
Description: bacterial LSU rRNA
Rfam family: Bacterial large subunit ribosomal RNA
Source: RNAcentral
CUCGGUCGAUGUCAGUGUGCCUAAUCAGGCUUCCGAGAAAAUCUUCUAAGCGUUAUAAAGAUAAAGCAACCAGUACCGCAAACCGACACAGGUAGUCAAGGAGAGAAUCCUAAGGUGCUCGAGUGAGUCAUGGUUAAGGAACUCGGCAAAUUAAUCCUGUAACUUCGGGAAAAGGGAUGCCAGCAGCAAUGCUGGUCGCAGAGAAAUGGCCCAGGCGACUGUUUAACAAAAACACAGGGCUACGCGAAAUCGAAAGAUGAAGUAUGUGGCCUGACACCUGCCCGGUGCUGGAAGGUUAAGAGGGGAUGUUAGUCGCAAGGCGAAGCAUUGAAUCGAAGCCCCAGUAAACGGCGGCCGUAACAAUAACGGUCCUAAGGUAGCGAAAUUCCUUGUCGGGUAAGUUCCGACCUGCACGAAUGGUGUAACGAUCUGGGCGCUGUCUCGACCAUGAGCUCGGUGAAAUUGAAGUAGCGGUGAAGAUGCCGCUUACCCGUCACGGGACGGAAAGACCCCAUGCACCUUUACUAUAGUUUUGCAUUGAUAUUGGGUAAAUGAUGUGUAGGAUAGGUGGGAGACUAUGAUGCGGUGCCGCUAGGUAUCGUGGAGUCAACGUUGAAAUACCACCCUUUAUUUACUUGGUGUCUAACGGCGCAACGCGCCAGACAGUGCAUGAUGGGUAGUUUGACUGGGGUGGUCGCCUCCAAAAGAGUAUCGGAGGCUUCUAAAGGUAUGCUCAGUACGCUUGGUAACCGUACGUAGAGUGCAAUAGCAUAAGCAUGCUUGACUGUGAGACCUACAAGUCGAGCAGGGACGAAAGUCGAGUAUAGUGAUCCGGUGGUUCCGCAUGGAAGGGCCAUCGCUCAAAGGAUAAAAGGUACGCUGGGGAUAACAGGCUGAUCUCCCCCAAGAGCUCAUAUCGACGGGGAGGUUUGGCACCUCGAUGUCGGCUCGUCACAUCCUGGGGCUGGAGAAGGUCCCAAGGGUUCGGCUUUCGCCGAUUAAAGUGGCACGCGAGCUGGGUUCAGAACGUCGUGAGACAGUUCGGUCCCUAUCUGUGAUGGGCGUUGGAAAUUUGAGAGGGCCUGACCUUAGUACGAGAGGACCGGGUUGGACCAACCUCUGGUGUAUCUGUUGUGCCGCCAGGUGCAGUGCAGAGUAGCCACGUUGGGUUAAGAUAAGCGCUGAAAGCAUCUAAGUGCGAAACUUGCCUCAAGAUGAGAUUUCCUUACAGGAUCGUCAGAGACUAUGACGUUGAUAGGCUGCAGGUGUAAAGUCAGUAAUGGCAAAGCCGAGCAGUACUAAUUAUCCU